GAACGCUGCAUGUAGUCAACCACUGUUGCCAACACACCGGAUUAUUAAUAAUAUUAUUAAUAUACAUUUAUUAACUUUUCUUCCCUGGUUUAUGUUUGUGUAACGAGACGUUAGACGGAUCAUUACAGCGAUAGGCGGGUGGGUGUCACGUGGGCGCCCCACGUGGGCGGGGCAACCUGUAGCUUACGGCCUCAGUCUGCCGAUCGCUGUCGAGCCGGUAAGUUGGUCCCUCGCAUGCUCCCUAGCUAACAUGCUAAUGAACAGUUAGCUCACAUUGUUUAUUCUGGUAAACCGCUAUAAAAGCUGGAUGACACGAGGUGUCCUUUCCGAGGACACUAACCCCUCUAUGUUCAUCGAGUAAGUCAUGUUGAUAUGUUUAUUAGUUUUGUAAAGUUAGUCUGCCGCACGCUGUCUAAAUGGUAGAAAAACUUGCUGCCAUAGUAAAAUGAACUAUGAAACGGUAAAAUGAACUAUGAAACGGUAAAGCGAACUGAAACGGUAAAGCGAACUAUGAAACGGUAAAGCGAACUAUGAAACGAUAAAGCGAACUAUGAAACGGUAAAGCAAACUAUGAAACGGUAACUAUGAAACGGUAAAGCGAACUAUGAAACGGUAAAGCGAACUAUGAAACGGUAAAGCGAACUAUGAAACGGUAACUAUGAAACGGUAAAGCAAACUAUGAAAAAAUGAACUAUGAAACGGUAAAAUGAACUAUGAAACGCGAACUAUGAAACGAUAAAGCGAACUAUGAAACGGUAAAGCAAACUAUGAAACGGUAACUAUGAAACGGUAAAGCGAACUAUGAAACGGUAAAGCAAACUAUGAAACGGUAACUAUGAAACGGUAAAGCGAACUAUGAAACGGUAAAGCGAACUAUGAAACGAUAAAGCGAACUAUGAAACGGUAAAGCAAACUAUGAAACGGUAAAGCAAACUAUGAAACGGUAACUAUGAAACGGUAAAGCGAACUAUGAAACGGUAACUAUGAAACGGUAAAGCGAACUAUGAAACGGUAAAGCAAACUAUGUAACGGUAACUAUGGAACACUAAAGCAAGCUAUGAAAAAAUGAACUAUGAAACCGUA
This is a long non-coding RNA of Gasterosteus aculeatus aculeatus (three-spined stickleback), 1083 nucleotides long. The record is from Ensembl. Lineage: Eukaryota; Metazoa; Chordata; Actinopteri; Perciformes; Gasterosteidae.